CCCCUCUCAGGGUCGCACCUGGAGAGUUUCCAGUACUUCAGCAGUUUCGACUAUGAGAGCGAGAGUCAAGCAGAGGCCUACCCAUUCCAUUCCUAGCUUGAGCAGUGGCUAGCGAGUGUAAGGCAAUCUGCUACAAGU
Molecule: small nucleolar RNA, 138 nt
Filed under: Ornithorhynchus anatinus (platypus)
Lineage: Eukaryota; Metazoa; Chordata; Mammalia; Monotremata; Ornithorhynchidae
Source: RNAcentral